CCUCUUGCGCGUGCGCGCGCCUUCUGCGCCGUUGGCGCGUCAACAGCCCGCGGGCCCAGGCCUUGAGGCGCGUCUGAGGAAGGGGCUGCCUGUGGCCUCUUUGCGCGCACUUCCUCCACUCGCCGCCCGUGGCGCCCCUAGGAGGACUUAACCCGCGUUGGGCUUUGAAGGCUGGAGCUAGGCUCUGGCGGGUCUAGAGCCCUGUAGGGCCUGCACCAGCUCCAACCUAGGGCCCUAAGCGUCGUUAUCCGUGCAGCUCCCACCCUGUCACCCUCUCCCUAUGCCCUUGUUCCGCCCGCAUCUCUCAGGAGGCAAUAGACCUUUUAUCUCCCGGGAGGGUCUCACCUUAGUCUUCAGACGCCUGCCGAGAGGGCUAGAAGGGCAGAAUUAGCAUAAAGAAGAAAGAGGCGAGGCCACGUUCAGGCUUAAGCCCCAGGAAUCCUUGACAGGAAGCGUGGGGUUGCUGCCCAGCCUCCCACGCAGUGUAGGUGAAACUGGGCCCCUUUGAGGGACUGUGACUAAGGACAAAACCCUGAUAAAUAUUAUUUAUGCGUCCUUGGGCUGAGAGGGAGAAAAUGUAAGAGACGAGUUAAUUUUCAUAAAUUACUACGCAGGGGCGAAAUGCAGAAUUAUAAAGUGUCCUUUAAGAGUUUUCUUGAAAUCUUACCAAGUUUGACAAGAUGCUUGGUGCACGGUAACUUUCUUCCAUACUUUGUAUGCUGUCACAUCUCGGUCCUGCAACACUGCGUCAUGGAAGAUGGGUCAAUUAAAAGUUAUCAGCUGCAAAAUAGAAAGCUACCUUAACCAUCUUUAUCAUGAUUUAAAUAGAUGUCAGAGAAGUCAUUCUGUAGUUAAAAAUUUAGCCACUGUCCUAACUUAUUUAGCUGAGCAUAUUUUAUUUUGAAGUUACCUUGCAAUACACGGUAAAAUACCCUUUUAUUAGGCAAUAUUAAACUUUUAAACUCACUUACAGGACUGGACUUUUUUUUAGGAAGCUUAUCGAGUUAAACCUUUGAGGCAAGUAAGAGUGAGAUGAAAUUAACCCCAUUUUAUAGAUGAGAAAAUUGAGUUAGAAAAACGUCAGUUCAGAGUUGCAGGGAGUCUGUGACCCAUAAAGGGAUCUAGUAUCACCUACUUUAUCCACUAAACCAGAAAUCCCUCAAUUGUUUACUUGUGGGUAUCUUUGGAUGCCCCUGUCCCCCGUCCCCAUGCAUUGUAGUCAGUGCUAAUGUCUGAGAGAAAUUUUGGAGGUAUUCCUGGAGACGCCAAAUCACAGAGGACUCUAAAAGGUUUGAGGUUGGAAUUCCCUGCCACAGAAAAUCACAGCUGUGCAAUAAGUUAUUGUGAAACAAUUCAGAUUCUAUACUAACAACAAAGUGUUUAUUAAUCCCUAGUUAGAGGUGAAAAAACUUUUGAGACAGGUUUAAGAAUGAUGGGUCAUUUCUUUUGAAUUGCUUCUUUAUUCACCUCAUCUUUAGGUGGCAGCACUACUAUAUAAAUAUCUUUAAAACUACAGUCUUCUGCAACUGGAUAUCCUGAAAAGUGUUUUGUCCUAAAUACAUCCAACUCUAUUGUGGAGAUUAGAAGUAUGAAAUCAUAUCUGAGAAUUAGAAUAUUUAAGAGGUUCCAGAGGACGAAAAACAGAAAGGCUUUCAGAGAAAUUAAUACAUGGAGUUACUGAAGGAAAAGAUUUGAAAGUUUUUAAAGAGCUUUUUCUUUUUCUUCUUCUUCUUCUUUUUUUUUUCUUUUAGGUAUAUGAGGCGCAAGUAGCAUCUUUAUUCUAAACCUGAUCUCCUAUUGAACCAGCACAAAAUAACCUUCCAAAACAAACCAUAGUUUCUCAAUACUGCGUAUUAAAAAUUUACAAGUUUUAAGUUACUGUUUGUAUAGUUGCCAUUAUUCUAACUAUAAUUUUAUUUAUUUUUUAUGUAAGCUCUCCUGCCAAGGUAGGGCUUGAACUCAUGACCCCAAAAUCUAGAGUUGCAUGAUCUACCAACCGAGCCAGCCAGGCACCCCUAACUACAAUUUUAUAAUUGUAAUAAUUUUAUAAUUCUUCAUUAAACUGCUUCAAGCUUAAGAGGAUCCCAAAUAGCACCUUACUGUUGACCCUUGUGAAAGAGAAGAAUUCUUCCUGGUUCCUUUCCUCGCUUCCUAAAUUGUUCAUAUACAAACUAAACCACCAUUACUCAAACUCAGAGAAGUGAUAAUACAAACUAAACUAUAUAUAAAUUGAUAGCAACUUAUAGAUAUUCUACAUCUGAAUUUCUGCCACAGUGUUUGAGGGUAAUCAGUUGUGAUUGAAUCAUGUAUGGGAGCUAUUUAGAUCAGUAUUUUCUAAGUAGAACGUCAUCAUAAUCAAUCUUUUUGCAGUAGGUUUCCCUGUAUGCCUUUAUCCAAGCCACCAAACAAAAUUGAAUUUACAUGUAUUUCAGAAUAGACUAUGUUGGAUUUACAAUAUAAGUUGUAAAUUUAUAAGUAAACAAAACUACCCAAGAAUAUAUCUGUAUGUUCAUCAGGAGUGGGAAAUCAAAUUAUUUCUGGGUAGAGGAUGAAGUGUUAAUAAAGUCUUUCUUGAUGGCAGCUUCCAUCUUUCUCAGAUCAAACUUAGAGAAGGAGUCUCAAGCAAGUUGGUAGGGCUCAAACUCAGCAGUAUUAUGUUAAGAUUUUUAAGCUCUCUGGUGCCAGCAAAUCAUGCAGCCUGGGGGCCUUUGCUCCAAACUUCUGCCAACUCCAUUUUGGCAGUAAAGUGUUCUGUUGAACAAAGUUUGCACGUGUUUGGGGUGCGAAGUGGUUCCUCAGGCAUUUAUCUGGUUUUAUUCCAGUUUAGGGACUUGAAGACAAGAGUCAGAAGCAUGAGACUUGUAUAGUUCAUAUAUGCCCUGAAACAGAUUAUGUUGAUGAUUUGGAAUUUUCACUUAAACAAGGACAGCUUUUUCUUUGUUGAUGUAAGAUUUAUUGAAGUGGACCGUUUAGUUUACUCCUUUAAUGCUAACAUGGUAUUGAACCAUUCUCAAAAGCAGGUAAGCAGAAUCCUCUCUGUUGAGGGUCUAGAGCUGUGGCAAAUCACUCCUCAUCCUCCUACCCACAAUACCAUCAAAUACCACUUGAGAGCAAAGAGGCCAGUAAUUAUUUAAACUUGAUCUCACUGUCGAUGAGCCUCUGAUCUUUUUUGGUAUUGGUUGUCUGGUUUCAUCUUUUUUACCUCCUUCUUCCUAUCCUGGAGUCAUUGAUUCACAACACUUGGCCAAGAUAUGUGUGCUAAUUUAUCUUAUUUCAGGGAGCCCCUCUUCCUGUGGGAAACAUAUACAUUCUCAAUUUCCAUUAUUUUUUCAAGUAAUCCUAAUGGAAAAUCCUUGCAUAAUCUGAGGUAACAGAGUUUGAAAGCCAUUAAACUGCUGUUGGAAUAUUCUUUUGUUUUUGUUUCUUUCUUCUCAGUUUAAGAGUAAUGGAAAGAAUGAGACACCUGGGUGGCUCAGUCUGUAAGGCAUACGACUUGGUCCAACUUUGGCUCUGGACGUGGGUUCAAGUUGUGCUGACAGCUCAGAGCCUGGAGCCUGCUUCAGACAGAUUCUGUGUCUCCCUCUUUCUCUGCCCCUCCCCCACUCGUGCUCUGUCUCUGUCUCUUAAAAAUAAAAUAAAAACAUUAAAAAAAAUUUUAAAGAAUAAUGGAAAGAAAAAAGUGCAAAAGGCACACAUAUUGAAAUGAUGGUAUUUUAACCACGAUCAAUGGAAUGUCAAUUUGUAAUAUACAGUAUGGUAACUUGAAAAUGGUAGUUAGUUUUGAUACUUUUGCCACUCUUUGGCCUAAAUUCCAAUCUGUACUUUUCCCUUUCCUUUCCUUCUUUUAAAAAGUAAUUCCCAAGUCACAGCUGACAUAUGGAUGAGAUGAAGAGACAAUGAAGAGCAAAGCUGGGCCUUUCCAAACAGUGGAUCUAUCUGCACUGAAAGUACUUUUGAACUUUGUUGCACGUUUUAUGGUGACCCCAAAAUUCCCUUGUUGGCUUACUUUAAAAUAUAAAUGUAUUGCAGUUUUACUACCUGGAGCAAGAUUAAAUACAUGCAUACAUAAGUGGGUGUGUACAUACAACCAGAUUCCACUGCCCUCUGAAGCUAAUUUAGACCAUUUUUAUAACCGAAUGUAGUAGCACUUUCCAAUUAGAUGAAAAUCAGUUGGUUUCCCUCAGUGGUGAGUCAAAUAUGUCAGGGGAAAAAUCAAGAGAAUCUUCCAUGGGAAAAACCCUAAGUAAGUUCUUUCUUUAAUAUUUUGUAUCUUUAUUUUGUAAUUCUUGAAUAUUUAGUCUUUUUUAACUUUAAGUAUACCUUUUCUUCUUGUCUACCUACUCAAAAUUAAUUAUGAAAUGUAAAUGUAAGUGUAAUAAUUAGUUUUUACCUCUUAGCACAUAAAUAUUUGCUUGAUAAGUAUGUGUAUAGGGAAGAA
This 4438-nucleotide long non-coding RNA is filed under the name Lynx pardinus (Iberian lynx). The record is from RNAcentral. Lineage: Eukaryota; Metazoa; Chordata; Mammalia; Carnivora; Felidae.